This 253-nucleotide ribosomal RNA is filed under the name uncultured bacterium. RNAcentral's name for it is "partial 16S ribosomal RNA". It matches the Rfam family "Bacterial small subunit ribosomal RNA", at positions 524 to 776 of the family's 1533-position model. The record is from RNAcentral.
UACGUAGGGUGCAAGCGUUAAUCGGAAUUACCGGGCGUAAAGCGUGCGCAGGCGGUUAUGUAAGACAGAUGUGAAAUCCCCGGGCUCAACCUGGGAACUGCAUUUGUGACUGCAUAGCUAGAGUACGGUAGAGGGGGAUGGAAUUCCGCGUGUAGCAGUGAAAUGCGUAGAUAUGCGGAGGAACACCGAUGGCGAAGGCAAUCCCCUGGACCUGUACUGACGCUCAUGCACGAAGGCGUGGGGAGCAAACAGG